Molecule: transfer RNA, 72 nt
Filed under: Callorhinchus milii (elephant shark)
Lineage: Eukaryota; Metazoa; Chordata; Chondrichthyes; Chimaeriformes; Callorhinchidae
Description: tRNA-Gly (TCC) (tRNA-Gly-TCC-13-1)
Rfam family: tRNA
About the family: Transfer RNA (tRNA) molecules are approximately 80 nucleotides in length. Their secondary structure includes four short double-helical elements and three loops (D, anti-codon, and T loops).
Source: Rfam by way of RNAcentral
AGUCCUGUAGCUCAGUGGUUAGAGCACUUGCCUUCCAAGCGAGACACCUGGGUUCAAUUCCCGGCAGGGCGA